CAAAAGCUCUAUCACCACACAUUUGCCAGUGCCCAGUAGCAAGACAGAGCUUGUUACGAUGGUUUCCCCUCACUCAGUCAUUGCGUCCAUGCAAUGAAAUGAGAAACCAGCCUAUCAGCUAGAUAUUAUCCUGAAUCAAGCAUCCUGAAGGAUCAAGCAUCCUAUCAUCUGGUUGUGCAGAGAAAUGUAUGCAUGGAGACUGGGCAUGUAUCUGUAGAGAUUUUAGCAGAGCUCUGUCCUGCCAAACUUUCUACAUUCAGCACAUCCAUUUCUUUUGAGCAAGACAAAAUGAAGGAGAUCUAUACUGAUUAAUCCACAAGGACCAGAAACUGAGGAAGCAAGCAGAUUGAUUGAACCCGACGAGGAUUCAUAGGUGCUUGCAAAAGGCAAAACAGAAAAAACCAAAAUCAUGUCAAGCUUAUGAUGAAAUCAACUUGUUCCAACUUUAAUGUAAAACACACACAAUGAAAACUAUGAUUGACAUUUUCAGCAACUUCCAGUAAACAUAAAAAUAAAACCAUGUGGAAAACUGAGCCCCUGAAGAUGGAAGGACUCACAGUUUCUGCAUGUCGGAGUCAAAUGUCUCAGAGGACCAACACAUUACAUGAAGUCCAGGCUUGAGGGUGCUCAAAAAAAUAACAAACAGC
This is a long non-coding RNA of Corvus hawaiiensis (hawaiian crow), 647 nucleotides long. RefSeq lists it as uncharacterized. The record is from RefSeq and is a predicted model, not a curated record. The transcript is spliced from 4 exons. Lineage: Eukaryota; Metazoa; Chordata; Aves; Passeriformes; Corvidae.